AUUGAACGCUGGCGGCGUGCUUAACACAUGCAAGUCGUGCGGUAACAGGCGUAGCAAUACGUGCUGACGAGCGGCGAACGGGUGCGUAAUACAUGGGAAUCUGCCCUUUGGUGGGGAAUAACCCGGCGAAAGCCGGGCUAAUGCCGCAUAAGAUCUUCGGAUGAAAGCGGGGGAUCGUAAGACCUCGCGCCGAUGGAUGAGCCCAUGUCGGAUUAGCUUGUUGGCGAGGUAACGGCUCACCAAGGCGACGAUCAGUAGCCGGCCUGAGAGGGCGGACGGCCACACUGGGACUGAGACACGGCCCAGACUCCUACGGGAGGCAGCAGUGGGGAAUUGUUCGCAAUGGGCGCAAGCCUGACGACGCAACGCCGCGUGGAGGACGAAGACCUCGGUCGUAACU
Molecule: ribosomal RNA, 400 nt
Filed under: uncultured bacterium
Lineage: Bacteria
Description: bacterial SSU rRNA
Rfam family: Bacterial small subunit ribosomal RNA
Source: RNAcentral